Thalassophryne amazonica is the source of this 925-nucleotide long non-coding RNA. RefSeq lists it as uncharacterized. Lineage: Eukaryota; Metazoa; Chordata; Actinopteri; Batrachoidiformes; Batrachoididae. The record is from RefSeq and is a predicted model, not a curated record. The transcript is spliced from 2 exons.
UAUUUAAACAGUUUGGUACUUUACAGUUAGACUGCAGCCUUCAGUUCAAACUGGCUGUUUGAUGUUGAAACGGUGACGGCAUGGAAAGUGAUCAACAUGUUUAUUGGAAGCUUACAUCCCUGCUUCUUACACAUAAAUGCAAAUAUAUUACAUAACAAAACAAAUCAAGACCAACUUUUAAUACAAAAAAAAAAAAAAUCUAUACUGGCAAUAAUCUGGUUGUUCAUUUGCUUUUGAAUUACAAAGACGAAUGGUGGGUGAAAUUUAUUACAAUAACAUUUGAGUGUGACUGACUCAGGCUGCAUUCCAUUCUGAUGGGGUAGUGUUCUAUGUUUGCAUGCUGUGGCUCAUUCAAUAGCAAAUUUUCACAUGUGUGAAUUCUUCAAUUAGUCAUCUAUAUGUCAAAAAAAAAAAAAAUAAUAAAAGGCCAUUAUAAUUCCAGAGCUAUAAGCAAUAUCUUAAAUGGCUUGUUUCCUCUCCCCCCCCCCCCCCCCCCCCCCCAAAAAAAACAAGCAAAAAUGUUUCAAAUUUACAAUAAUGUACAUUAGAGAAAAAACAUCAAUAUGCAACAGGCUGGAAAUAGAAAAUUUGAUAUUUUCAGGUAAAUGCUUAAUUUUAAACAUUUUGGUGGUGGGGGUGGUCAUCUUUUUACCUGACAGAAAUUCAAUUAGUGAGCGCAUGAUUAUAAUGCAACAAAUCUACUAGAAUGCAAACACUUAUCACGUAAUUAAUGUAAUGAGGUUGGGCAAGUUAAACACACACAGUAAAGUGCUUCUUGUUGCCCCCGAGGCAAAAAAACAAAACAAAACAAAACAAAAUCAUUAAAACAUGUAACAGACUGUCAGUCAGGGGCUUGUUCUGUAAAAUGCACCUCCAGCUUGCAUUCAUUUGAUAACCAACCGCACUGGAGAGGUUAAGCAUAUGA